Long non-coding RNA from Trifolium pratense (red clover), 814 nucleotides. RefSeq lists it as uncharacterized. The record is from RefSeq and is a predicted model, not a curated record. NCBI's taxonomy places the organism in Eukaryota, Viridiplantae, Streptophyta, Magnoliopsida, Fabales, Fabaceae. The transcript is spliced from 4 exons.
GGGUUUUCAUCUGGUUUCAAUAUCCACAGAAGUGAAAAAUACAUAGACACAACUUUUUACAUCUGGUCAUAAUAUAACCAGAAGCAAAGCUGAAUGCGGUGGCAAUCCUGUAAUUAUGGUGAGAAUUGUGUAACUCGCAGUACUAUCAUGAUCUCACUCAUCUCUCUCACGCACUGCUCACUCGAUUUCUCUCACUUCUCACUCGAACCCUAGCGGCCUUAUCUCUCUCACGAUCGAUCUCGUCUUCUCUCUCACUAAUCUCACUCGAACUCGGCGGCGUCAUCUCUCUCACCGACCUCACGUACUCGCUCAUCUUUGUCGUCUCUCUGUCUCACUGAAACACGAAUUGAUGGCUGAAUCGGAAAUUCCAAAACCCAGUGAAACAUGAAUUGAAGGUUGAAGCACUCAUAUCUGUCUUCUCUCUCGUUUCAUCUUCUCUAGCCCUAAACCCAGAGAAAAGAAAGCAUACAAGAGUUUUCGCACACGAAGAAAGCUACCUGAGUAUGCAAUUCUUCUUGAACAAAUCUGGUGGAAGCUUUUAGAUUUUGUUGAACUAAAGCAGCUCGAUACCUUUCUUUGACAUUGAGAAACAUGAAACUACGAUUUUGCGUUGGUCUAUAGCUAGGACAAUAGCUACUAAGGACCAGUUGCAGCAAACAGAAGUGGAUUGUGCGUAUUUGAAUAGAUGUUGUGAGAUACUGACAGAAGAGACUAAGAGUUUACAUAAAGAACUUCAAAUUUGGAGCAGUUUCUCUCGGGUUCAUUUUGUUAUUGUACUAGUAAGCAUUCUGCUUAGGUAAGAUGACCUACAUUC